Molecule: ribosomal RNA, 651 nt
Filed under: uncultured Rhizophagus
Lineage: Eukaryota; Fungi; Glomeromycota; Glomeromycetes; Glomerales; Glomeraceae
Description: SSU rRNA
Rfam family: Eukaryotic small subunit ribosomal RNA
Source: RNAcentral
AAGCUCGUAGUUGAAUUUCGGGGUUAGUAGGUUGGUCAUGCCUCCGGUAUGUACUGAUCUCACUGAUUCCUCCUUCCUUAUGAACCGUAAUGCCAUUAAUUUGGUGUUGCGGGGAAUUUGGACUGUUACUUUGAAAGAAUUAGAGUGUUUAAAGCAGGCUAACGCUUGAAUACAUUAGCAUGGAAUAAUGAAAUAGGACGUUCGAUCUUAUUUUGUUGGUUUCUAGGAUUGACGUAAUGAUUAAUAGGGAUAGUUGGGGGCAUUAGUAUUCAAUUGUCAGAGGUGAAAUUCUUGGAUUUAUUGAAGACUAACUACUGCGAAAGCAUUUGCCAAGGAUGUUUUCAUUAAUCAAGAACGAAAGUUAGGGGAUCGAAGACGAUCAGAUACCGUCGUAGUCUUAACCAUAAACUAUGCCGACUAGGGAUCGGAUGAUGUUAAUUUUUUAAUGACUCAUUCGGCGCCUUACGGGAAACCAAAGUGUUUGGGUUCCGGGGGGAGUAUGGUCGCAAGGCUGAAAUUUAAAGGAAUUGACGGAGGGGCACCACCAGGGGUGGAGCCUGCGGCUUAAUUUGACUCAACACGGGGAAACUCACCAGGUCCAGACAUAGUAAGGAUUGACAGAUUGAGAGCUCUUUCUUGAUUCUAUGGGUG